GUCUACGGCCAUACUACCCUGAACACGCCCAAUCUCGUCUGAUCUUGGAAGCUAAGCAGGGUUGGGCCUGGUUAGUACUUGGAUGGGAGAAAGUGAACCACCUGGGAUGGAAU
Erinaceus europaeus (western European hedgehog) is the source of this 113-nucleotide ribosomal RNA. The record is from Ensembl. NCBI's taxonomy places the organism in Eukaryota, Metazoa, Chordata, Mammalia, Eulipotyphla, Erinaceidae.